Molecule: long non-coding RNA, 2387 nt
Organism: Hydractinia symbiolongicarpus
Lineage: Eukaryota; Metazoa; Cnidaria; Hydrozoa; Anthoathecata; Hydractiniidae
Exons: 2
Source: RefSeq, a predicted model, not a curated record
GUAGUAAAGCGUAGUAGAAUGUAUUUCUCUGUAGUAAAGCGUAUUUCUCUGUAGUAGAGUGUAGUAGCCUGUAGUAGCUUGUAGUAGAGUGUAGUAGCGUGUAGUAGAGCGUAGUAGAAUGUAUUUCUCUGUAGUAAAGCGUAUUUCUCUGUAGUAGAGUGUAGUAGCGUGUAGUAGAGCGUAGUAGCGUGUAGUAGAGCGUAGUAGAAUGUAUUUCUCUGUAGUAAAGCGUAUUUCUCUGUAGUAGAGUGUAGUAGCGUGUAGUAGAGCGUAGUAGCGUGUAGUAAAGCGUAGUAGAAUGUAUUUCUCUGUAGUAAAGCGUAUUUCUCUGUAGUAGAGUGUAGUAGCCUGUAGUAGCUUGUAGUAGAGUGUAGUAGCGUGUAGUAGAGCGUAGUAGAAUGUAUUUCUCUGUAGUAAAGCGUAUUUCUCUGUAGUAGAGUGUAGUAGCGUGUAGCAGAGUGUAGUAGCCUGUAGUAGCCUGUAGUAGAGCGUAGUAGAAUGUAUUUCUCUGUAGUAAAGCGUACUUCUCUGUAGUAGAGUGUAGUAACCUGUAGUAGAGCGUAGUAGAGCGUAUUUCUCUGUAGCAGAGUGUAGUAGCCUGUUAAGAAGCGCAGGGGUUUACAGCAGUUAAGCUUCAUACAAAUAGUUUCAAAAAAUAUUCUAACUUUUCAGUUAAAUUGAACUGGGGAAAACGGCGUUCAAGUGACUACCAUCGCCAUGAUGGUCUCGCACUAUAUACAAACGAAAAAUUAUCUGGACAUCUUCCCACAAAAGAUUCUUAUCAGUACAUCAAUUGUAGUUGGUAGAUAAACAAGCCAUGAUGGCCGAUUCGCCAGUGGUCAUCAUAAUAUCAGAGACAAAGAAACAAAUUUAGCAGACACGCCUAAAUAUUCAUUUUCAAUUUCACAUCUUGUGUUUUACUGCGCUUACCCAACGAGACAUGAUCAGUUUGUUUGAGUCUAACAGAAUACAUCACAAGUAAUGUAUGUUCCAAAUACCAUUAGUGAAGGCGAGUGAUCAGUAUUACGUAAGAGAUACGGUUGUUUCCGUAAAUUAGACCCUUGAUAAAAAUUUAAAAAAAAGCUCCUGUUUUAGAAGCAAUCCAUACAUCUCAGAUUCAGUUGUUUCGGUGGAUUGGGCCAUUGUUAAGCAUUCAGGAAAAAGCUCCUAUUUCUAGAAGCAAUCCAUAUAUCACAGAUGCGGUUAUUUCGGUAAAUUGAGCCAUUGAUAAACAUUCAGGAAAAAGAUCCUGUUUCUAGAAGCAAUCUGUACAUAAUAGAAUUACUUGUUUUGGUGAGCUAGGCCAUUGAUAAAAAUUCAGGAAAAUGGUCAUGUUUCUAGAAGCAAUCUAUACAUAACAGGUUCAGUUGUUUUGGUGAAUUGGGCCUUUCAUAACCUUUUAGAUAAUACUUUUUGACAUUCAAUUUUGGCCGGAAUAUAAAAUUUCAGAACAAAAGUUACCGAAUUUGGCGCUUGUCUAUGAUAAUAUCAGUUAAACGCUCCAUGUUUCUCUUGUUUCGUUCAAUUUUGACAAUAUAAAACGAAUUUUAGACCAAAAAUCACCGAAGUCGGCACUUGUCUAUGCCAUUAUCAAUUAAGCGCUCCAUGUUUCUCUCGUUUCGCUUAAUUUUGGCCGGAAAAUGAAAUGUGUCUAAGGUAUUGUCACAUAUACGAACUCUACUUGUCUUGUUUCGAUGAAUUAAGACCUGAAUACUUUUUUAUAUGCCGAUUAUCUCUUGGUUGAAAGAAACCUUUUUUUGUUUCACAACAUUAAAACUUGUUAACGUAUACCGGAACAAAGUUUUCGGCAAAUAUGUAUCACGCCGUCUUCGCUAAGGAUUAAUCUGUUAUGCUUUCGAAUAUAGAAGAAUCCGUUUUUUGUGAAACAAUUGUUAAUAUAUAUUGAACGAUUGUAGUUUAUAGUUGUAGAGUCUUGAUGAAAUCUAGUGGUGUUUGUGUAUUUCACAGACUAAAAGCUACUUUCUAAAAAUAUGCUCAUGCACUACGAAAGUCAAAACAAUUAGCAUCCGUGGCAUCACAGAAUGUUUCACAAAAAGAUUGCUACUUCUUUAUGAAUUGCUUUUUGUUAAUAUAGGAAGUUUUUUAUAUGAUUACUUCAAAAAUAAUAUGAUCAAGCUUGUGGUCAUCCUUUUUAAUAUAUUACAUAGGGAAUGAUAUUGAGACAUUCACUUUCCGUUUGAUAGCCCAUUGUGAUUGAUUUCAAUUUAUUUCCACAAAUGAGUAUGUAUAAUACAGUGUCACGUAUGAGGUGUGCUAGUUUUACGUAUAUUAUACGUCUUGUAUUAUUCUAAGAAGCAAUUAACUACUUGUUAAAAAGGGAAAAAUAUAUAUUCUACAAAUAGUUGAAAUAUAGUAUAGAGCUAUUA